Thalassophryne amazonica is the source of this 101-nucleotide long non-coding RNA. RefSeq lists it as uncharacterized. NCBI's taxonomy places the organism in Eukaryota, Metazoa, Chordata, Actinopteri, Batrachoidiformes, Batrachoididae. The transcript is spliced from 3 exons. The record is from RefSeq and is a predicted model, not a curated record.
UUAAACAAAUAUAUACAUACAUAAAAGAAAUGUAUAAACUCAGAAAUUAGUCAUCAAUAUUUUACUUCACCAGCAAAAACGUCACAGUGUGAUUUAGCUUU